Molecule: long non-coding RNA, 2597 nt
Organism: Oncorhynchus masou masou (cherry salmon)
Lineage: Eukaryota; Metazoa; Chordata; Actinopteri; Salmoniformes; Salmonidae
Exons: 3
Source: RefSeq, a predicted model, not a curated record
UGCACAACAGCGCAACGCAAACCCCUUUUAAUCCUAGAGCGCCUGAUCGCCGCCAGUAGAUGAGAAGCGGUCCACUAACCGCUCUAUGCGUUGGGAACAUAUCACUGAAUAAUAACGGACUCACCGCUUCCAGCCCUCCACUUGCAGCAAAACGACCGUUUAGUAGCAUAAGGGAAUGAACGUUUCGACGUUAACGGCUCGGUCUUGUAAAAUAGCCUACUGUAUUUGAUGUAUAACAGGAUGGUUUCCCUUAGCAGCUCCCUGCUUGGAUAACGUUACCGCCGUGCUGUUCUGAUUCUCCGGAUAAUGGUUCUCCCAUUCCUAACAGAGCUUUCUUGGAUUUGAAAGUGACUACCUCAUGAAGAACCCCCCCGUUGGCUGGCCCUCGCUUCAUACUCAUCGCCAAACCCACUGGCUCCAGGUCAUCUACAAGUCUCUGCUAGGAUUAUUUUCCUGCUGUAGCAAAUUGGCUCAAAUUAAGAACCGACAUCUCUAGGGAAAAGGAUGCCAUUUGGGACGCAAGCAGUGUCUCCGCCCAGACAGAAUAACCAGAGUUGUCUCCGUUUUAACCACUCAGAGCAGUCAGACACUACUUUCCCUCCAUAGAGUUUCUCUCAAGAAGAAUUCUCUCCGGGCUUUUGGUUCACAGUCUUUUUUUAUUUACAGUCUUGGCUCUGUGCCAAACUUAUCUUUAAAGCACAGCAUCCUACGUGACAAACUCCACAUACAAGUCCACCGCUUUCUACUGCUGGCUGAGGUCAUGAAAACAACGUGUCAUUGUCACCUGUCGCAGACGUCAUGGUAUCAUGGUAUUAUGACACAGCAAUAGUAUAUUAUCUCCUUUUGGAAUUUUUUUAACAAGCGGUUAUAAAUUGCAGUUAUGUUGAGAGAAUUGCCAAAUGUCUGUUUUCCUUGGCACUAGGUUUACCAGUUUAAUCUAAGUGAACCACGUCUCUCAAUUAAGAAUUAAUAUUACAUAACUUCUGUCUCCAAAUAAAUUAACACGGUGCAGACAGGCAACAGCCAGCUGUCUAAGGAGAGAACGUGUUUAAAAGGCUUUCUACAGCUGCUCUGUUUCAGGAGGGAUUGAUGCAUUAUGUAGAACUGUAGAUACCACCAGAUGUUGUAUCCUUUUGUACAUCACAUUUUAUAGAUAGUUGCGAGAAAUUAGAUAUAAUGGAUGUUUUUUUCCUCUCGUUUUGGUGGACAGAUUUUCUGUCCUUGUCUUUUAUGGUGCUGGUAUGUGUCCCAAAUGGUACCCUAUUCCCUUUAUGAUGCACUACUUUUGAAAAGAGCCCUAUGGGCCCUGGUCAAAAGUAGUAGACUGGGGUGCCGUUUGGGACGCAGUAGGGCGGAAUCAUUCUUUAGUCAUUACUCUACUGUCGUCAGUCAUGUGAAUAGGCCACAGCUUACAUAAAGCUUCUUCCUAAACCUUUUAUUCCUAUAUAAGGUCAUGUUGACAAGGUCACGCAGACCCGGACCCUGUCUGUUAGAUAAAAUGAAAUACAUUUAUACUUCCUAUUGUAGACUGACUCCGUUUAAUAGCACACAUGUUAAAUGGCAAACCAACUACUGUUCUCCCUCUCCCACAGCCUAUCCACACUGACUCUAUGCCCAUCCACAGGUCUCCACCUACUCAGACACAACCUACGCUUCUGCUAAAAUGAUUAUUGAUUAGAUGUAUUAUUCCAUUACACUGCUGUCCAUUGAUAAUUGAUUACCAUUACCAUUAAUGUUUUAUGUAUCUAUCCUGCUACUUGUCACUAUUUCUCAUGUUUACAUGUGCACUGAGCAUACCAAAUAUUAGCAACAACUUCCUAAUAUUGAGUUGCACCCCUUUUGCCCUCAGAACAGCCUCAGCUCCUCGGGGCAGGAACUCUACAAGGUGUCGAAAGUGUUCCACAGGGAUGCUGGCCAAUGUUGACUCCAAUGCUUCCCAUGGUUGUAUCAAGUUGGCUGGAUGUCGUUUGGGUAGUGGACCAUUCUUGAUACACAGGGGAAACUGUUGAGUUUGAAACAUUCAGCAGCGUUGCAGUUCUUGACACACUAAAACCGGUACGCCUGUCAUCUACUACCAUACUCCGUUCAAAGGCACUUAAAUCUUUCGUCUUUCCCAUUCACCCUCUGAAUGGCACAUAUACACAAUACAUGUCUCAAGGCUUAAAAAUCCUUCUUUAACGGGUCUCCUCCCCUUCAUCUACACUGAUUGAAGUGGAUUUAACAAGUGACAUCAAUAAGGGAUCAUAGCUUUCACCUGGAUUCAUCUGGUCAGUCUAUGUCAUGGAAAAAGCAGGUGUUCCUAAUGUUUUGAACACUCAGUGUAUAUCCUACUACCAGUCAUGUUGUAUGUAUAAAACCCCUUGAACCACUCCAGUAACCCUGCACAUUAAAUAAGGUACUGGUACUAACCUGUAUGUACGUGUAUUCUCGUGUUUCUUUAACUCUCAUCUUGUGUGUCAUUUUAUUUUUAUUAUCUAUAUUAUUAUUAUUAUCACUGCCUUGUAGGGGAAGAGCUCUCAAGGUAAUAAUUUAUCUGUAUUGUUUUACACCUGUUGUAUCCUGUCCAAGUGGCGAAUAAACUUUGAAACUUGAAACUA